This 72-nucleotide transfer RNA is filed under the name Ovis aries (sheep). It matches the Rfam family "tRNA". From Rfam's summary of the family: Transfer RNA (tRNA) molecules are approximately 80 nucleotides in length. Lineage: Eukaryota; Metazoa; Chordata; Mammalia; Artiodactyla; Bovidae. The record is from Rfam by way of RNAcentral.
UCCCUGGUGGCUAAGAUGGUAAAGAACCUGCCUGCAAUGCAGGAGAUCCUGGUUCAAUCCCUGGGUUGGGAA